Long non-coding RNA from Nicotiana tabacum (common tobacco), 594 nucleotides. RefSeq lists it as uncharacterized. Lineage: Eukaryota; Viridiplantae; Streptophyta; Magnoliopsida; Solanales; Solanaceae. The record is from RefSeq and is a predicted model, not a curated record.
GUAAUUGUAGGAAAACAAAGCGUCAUAUAACUGACGGGAUCCAUAUAACUACUCUCUAAGAUCCUCUUCAACUCUAACCAUUUUCUUCUUCGAUCAAUCCUCUGCUACGCCGAGAUUCUGCCUCCUUUACGGGCCUUAUAUUGGGUUUCCUCCUUUUUGGGAUUCAGUUGUCGGAGCCGGAGCAACAAUCUAUUGGAUCACAGGAACUCCACAGAAUAUUUUUUUUCUCUUUCUUCUGAUACAUAUAAUAUUGUAUAACCAAUUGUCAUCCGCGACUCUCAUGUUCUGUAGCCUCCAUGUUACAACAAAGUUAUGUCAAAAUUAGGCAGGAUACGAGACGUCAAUCAAAUGAAACUAGGGAAACACUAGUAAUACUUACUGUGCCACAACUAGAGGCUAUAGUGAGGUUGAGGUGUUGCUCUCCUUUUGGAUUGAGACCCUUUUAUGGGGAAUGUAAGAAUACCCUUUUUUUUUAUUAUCUAUGUUGAUUUUAUUUUGAAUUUGAGACAAAUUUUAUAGUCGUACCUUUACAUGAGUGUAUAAGAUGGAAGUUCCUUUUAAUGUCUUUGCCUUGAAGUUUUUGUGUUCAAGUAA